AUCGCGUCGCCCCCCAACACCGUGCAUGAAACAUUGCCGGUCGUAGGAGGGGCGGACAUUGGCUUCCCGUUCUUCGGUGCGGCUGGCCUAAAUGCGAGUCCCUUGCGACGGACACGACGACAAGUGGUGGUUGAUUUCCUCAACUAAGGYGUGUCGCUCGCUGACCCGUCGGAUGAGGAGACUACCUUGACCCUANAUGACGUCUUCACGACGCCUGCCACGACCGC
RNAcentral lists this ribosomal RNA (227 nucleotides) under Gentiana heleonastes. The record is from RNAcentral. Lineage: Eukaryota; Viridiplantae; Streptophyta; Magnoliopsida; Gentianales; Gentianaceae.